Molecule: ribosomal RNA, 240 nt
Filed under: uncultured Lactobacillus sp.
Lineage: Bacteria; Bacillati; Bacillota; Bacilli; Lactobacillales; Lactobacillaceae
Description: partial 16S ribosomal RNA
Rfam family: Bacterial small subunit ribosomal RNA
Source: RNAcentral
UAACCUGCCCAAGAGAUCGGGAUAACACCUGGAAACAGAUGCUAAUACCGGAUAACAACAGAUGAUGCCUAUCAACUGUUUAAAAGAUGGUUCUGCUAUCACUCUUGGAUGGACCUGCGGUGCAUUAGCUAGUUGGUAGGGUAACGGCCUACCAAGGCGAUGAUGCAUAGCCGAGUUGAGAGACUGAUCGGCCACAUUGGGACUGAGGCACGGCCCAAACUCCUACGGGAGGCAGCAGUA